UACGUAGGGUGCAAGCGUUGUCCGGAAUUAUUGGGCGUAAAGAGCUCGUAGGCGGUCUGUCGCGUCGAAUGUGAAAACCCGGGGCUCAACCCCGGGCCUGCAUUCGAUACGGGCAGACUAGAGUUCGGUAGGGGAGACUGGAAUUCCUGGUGUAGCGGUGAAAUGCGCAGAUAUCAGGAGGAACACAGGUGGCGAAGGCGGCAUCCUGGACCAACACUGACGCUGAGGAGCGAAAGCGUGGGGAGCGAACAGG
Molecule: ribosomal RNA, 253 nt
Filed under: uncultured bacterium
Lineage: Bacteria
Description: partial 16S ribosomal RNA
Rfam family: Bacterial small subunit ribosomal RNA
Source: RNAcentral